RNAcentral lists this ribosomal RNA (2927 nucleotides) under Klebsiella michiganensis. RNAcentral describes it as "bacterial LSU rRNA". It matches the Rfam family "Bacterial large subunit ribosomal RNA". Lineage: Bacteria; Pseudomonadati; Pseudomonadota; Gammaproteobacteria; Enterobacterales; Enterobacteriaceae. The record is from RNAcentral.
GGGUUGUGAGGUUAAGCGACUAAGCGUACACGGUGGAUGCCCUGGCAGUCAGAGGCGAUGAAGGACGUGCUAAUCUGCGAAAAGCGUCGGUAAGGUGAUAUGAACCGUUAUAGCCGGCGAUGUCCGAAUGGGGAAACCCAGUGCAAUUCGUUGCACUAUCGUUAACUGAAUACAUAGGUUAACGAGGCGAACCGGGGGAACUGAAACAUCUAAGUACCCCGAGGAAAAGAAAUCAACCGAGAUUCCCCCAGUAGCGGCGAGCGAACGGGGAGCAGCCCGGAGUCUGAAUCAGCUUGUGUGUUAGUGGAAGCGUCUGGAAAGUCGCAGGGUACAGGGUGAUACUCCCGUACACUAAAACACACAGGUUGUGAACUCGAAGAGUAGGGCGGGACACGUGGUAUCCUGUCUGAAUAUGGGGGGACCAUCCUCCAAGGCUAAAUACUCCUGACUGACCGAUAGUGAACCAGUACCGUGAGGGAAAGGCGAAAAGAACCCCGGCGAGGGGAGUGAAAAAGAACCUGAAACCGUGUACGUACAAGCAGUAGGAGCCCACUUGUUGGGUGACUGCGUACCUUUUGUAUAAUGGGUCAGCGACUUAUAUUCUGUAGCAAGGUUAACCGUAUAGGGGAGCCGCAGGGAAACCGAGUCUUAACUGGGCGUUAAGUUGCAGGGUAUAGACCCGAAACCCGGUGAUCUAGCCAUGGGCAGGUUGAAGGUUGGGUAACACUAACUGGAGGACCGAACCGACUAAUGUUGAAAAAUUAGCGGAUGACUUGUGGCUGGGGGUGAAAGGCCAAUCAAACCGGGAGAUAGCUGGUUCUCCCCGAAAGCUAUUUAGGUAGCGCCUCGUGAACUCAUCUUCGGGGGUAGAGCACUGUUUCGGCUAGGGGGUCAUCCCGACUUACCAACCCGAUGCAAACUACGAAUACCGAAGAAUGUUAUCACGGGAGACACACGGCGGGUGCUAACGUCCGUCGUGAAGAGGGAAACAACCCAGACCGCCAGCUAAGGUCCCAAAGUCAUGGUUAAGUGGGAAACGAUGUGGGAAGGCCCAGACAGCCAGGAUGUUGGCUUAGAAGCAGCCAUCAUUUAAAGAAAGCGUAAUAGCUCACUGGUCGAGUCGGCCUGCGCGGAAGAUGUAACGGGGCUAAACCAUGCACCGAAGCUGCGGCAGCGACACUAUGUGUUGUUGGGUAGGGGAGCGUUCUGUAAGCCGUUGAAGGUGGCCUGUGAGGGUUGCUGGAGGUAUCAGAAGUGCGAAUGCUGACAUAAGUAACGAUAAUGCGGGUGAAAAACCCGCACGCCGGAAGACCAAGGGUUCCUGUCCAACGUUAAUCGGGGCAGGGUGAGUCGACCCCUAAGGCGAGGCCGAAAGGCGUAGUCGAUGGGAAACAGGUUAAUAUUCCUGUACUCGGUGUUACUGCGAAGGGGGGACGGAGAAGGCUAUGUUGGCCGGGCGACGGUUGUCCCGGUUUAAGCAUGUAGGCGGAUGUUCCAGGUAAAUCCGGAACGUUACUAACGCUGAGGUGUGAUGACGAGGCACUACGGUGCUGAAGUGACAAAUGCCCUGCUUCCAGGAAAAGCCUCUAAGCAUCAGGUAACAUCAAAUCGUACCCCAAACCGACACAGGUGGUCAGGUAGAGAAUACCAAGGCGCUUGAGAGAACUCGGGUGAAGGAACUAGGCAAAAUGGUGCCGUAACUUCGGGAGAAGGCACGCUGAUGGUAAGUGAAGUGACUUGCUCAUGGAGCUGAAAUCAGUCGAAGAUACCAGCUGGCUGCAACUGUUUAUUAAAAACACAGCACUGUGCAAACACGAAAGUGGACGUAUACGGUGUGACGCCUGCCCGGUGCCGGAAGGUUAAUUGAUGGGGUUAUCCGUAAGGAGAAGCUCUUGAUCGAAGCCCCGGUAAACGGCGGCCGUAACUAUAACGGUCCUAAGGUAGCGAAAUUCCUUGUCGGGUAAGUUCCGACCUGCACGAAUGGCGUAAUGAUGGCCAGGCUGUCUCCACCCGAGACUCAGUGAAAUUGAACUCGCUGUGAAGAUGCAGUGUACCCGCGGCAAGACGGAAAGACCCCGUGAACCUUUACUAUAGCUUGACACUGAACACUGGUCCUUGAUGUGUAGGAUAGGUGGGAGGCUUUGAAGUGUGGACGCCAGUCUGCAUGGAGCCAUCCUUGAAAUACCACCCUUUAAUGGCUGGUGUUCUAACGUGGGCCCGUAAUCGGGGUUGCGGACAGUGUCUGGUGGGUAGUUUGACUGGGGCGGUCUCCUCCUAAAGAGUAACGGAGGAGCACGAAGGUCAGCUAAUCCUGGUCGGACAUCAGGAGGUUAGUGCAAUGGCAUAAGCUGGCUUGACUGCGAGCGUGACGGCGCGAGCAGGUGCGAAAGCAGGUCAUAGUGAUCCGGUGGUUCUGAAUGGAAGGGCCAUCGCUCAACGGAUAAAAGGUACUCCGGGGAUAACAGGCUGAUACCGCCCAAGAGUUCAUAUCGACGGCGGUGUUUGGCACCUCGAUGUCGGCUCAUCACAUCCUGGGGCUGAAGUAGGUCCCAAGGGUAUGGCUGUUCGCCAUUUAAAGUGGUACGCGAGCUGGGUUUAGAACGUCGUGAGACAGUUCGGUCCCUAUCUGCCGUGGGCGCUGGAGAAUUGAGGGGGGCUGCUCCUAGUACGAGAGGACCGGAGUGGACGCAUCACUGGUGUUCGGGUUGUCAUGCCAAUGGCAUUGCCCGGUAGCUAAAUGCGGAAGAGAUAAGUGCUGAAAGCAUCUAAGCACGAAACUUGCCCCGAGAUGAGUUCUCCCUGACUCCCUGAGAGUCCUGAAGGAACGUUGAAGACGACGACGUUGAUAGGCCGGGUGUGUAAGCGCAGCGAUGCGUUGAGCUAACCGGUACUAAUGAACCGUGAGGCUUAACCUUACAACGCCGAAG